RNAcentral lists this ribosomal RNA (886 nucleotides) under uncultured bacterium. RNAcentral's name for it is "bacterial SSU rRNA". It matches the Rfam family "Bacterial small subunit ribosomal RNA", at positions 94 to 998 of the family's 1533-position model. The record is from RNAcentral.
AGUGGCGAACGGGUGAGUAAAGCAUCGGAACGUGCCCAGUAGUGGGGGAUAGCCCGGCGAAAGCCGGAUUAAUGCCGCAUACGACCUAAGGGUGAAAGGGGGGGAUCGCAAGACCUCUCGCUAUUGGAGCGGCCGAUGUCAGAUUAGCUAGUUGGUGGGGUAAAAGCUCACCAAGGCGACGAUCUGUAGCUGGUCUGAGAGGAUGAGCAGCCACACUGGGACUGAGACACGGCCCAGACUCCUACGGGAGGCAGCAGUGGGGAAUUUUCCGCAAUGGGCGAAAGCCUGACGGAGCAACGCCGCGUGAGGGAGGAAGGUCUUUGGAUUGUAAACCUCUUUUCUCAAGGAAGAAGUUCUGACGGUACUUGAGGAAUCAGCCUCGGCUAACUCCGUGCCAGCAGCCGCGGUAAUACGGGGGAGGCAAGCGUUAUCCGGAAUUAUUGGGCGUAAAGCGUCCGCAGGUGGUCAGCCAAGUCUGCUGUCAAAUCAGGUUGCUUAACGACCUAAAGGCGGUGGAAACUGGCAGACUAGAGAGCAGUAGGGGUAGCAGGAAUUCCCAGUGUAGCGGUGAAAUGCGUAGAGAUUGGGAAGAACAUCGGUGGCGAAAGCGUGCUACUGGGCUGUAUCUGACACUCAGGGACGAAAGCUAGGGGAGCGAAAGGGAUUAGAUACCCCUGUAGUCCUAGCCGUAAACGAUGGAUACUAGGCGUGGCUUGUAUCGACCCGAGCCGUGCCGAAGCUAACGCGUUAAGUAUCCCGCCUGGGGAGUACGCACGCAAGUGUGAAACUCAAAGGAAUUGACGGGGGCCCGCACAAGCGGUGNAGUAUGUGGUUUAAUUCGAUGCAACGCGAAGAACCUUACCAAGACUUGACAUGUCGCGAACCC